Molecule: ribosomal RNA, 505 nt
Filed under: uncultured bacterium
Lineage: Bacteria
Description: bacterial SSU rRNA
Rfam family: Bacterial small subunit ribosomal RNA
Source: RNAcentral
AGUGAGGAAUUUUGCGCAAUGGGGGCAACCCUGACGCAGCAACGCCGCGUGAGUGAAGAAGGCCUUUGGGUCGUAAAGCUCUGUCAACAGGGAAGAAAUUAGUUUCUAUUAAUAGUAGAUUCUAUUGACGGUACCUGUGGAGGAAGCGCCGGCUAACUCCGUGCCAGCAGCCGCGGUAACACGGGGGGCGCAAGCGUUAUUCGGAAUUAUUGGGCGUAAAGGGCGCGCAGGCGGUCUUGUCMGUCAGGUGUGAAAGCUCGGGGCUCAACCCCGGAAGUGCACUUGAAACAGCAAGACUUGAAUACGGGAGAGGAGAGAGGAAUUCCUGGUGUAGAGGUGAAAUUCGUAGAUAUCAGGAGGAACACCGAUGGCGAAGGCAUCUCUCUGGACCGAUAUUGACGCUGAGGCGCGAAGGCGUGGGUAGCGAACGGGAUUAGAUACCCCGGUAGUCCACGCAGUAAACGUUGUACACUCGGUGUGGCGGAUAUUAAAAUCUGCUGUGCCC